This 491-nucleotide ribosomal RNA is filed under the name uncultured bacterium. RNAcentral describes it as "partial 16S ribosomal RNA". It matches the Rfam family "Bacterial small subunit ribosomal RNA", at positions 29 to 507 of the family's 1533-position model. The record is from RNAcentral.
GUGAACGCUGGCGGUAGGCCUAACCCAUGCAAGUCGAACGGCAGCACAGUAAGAGCUUGCUCUUACGGGUGGCGAGUGGCGGACGGGUGAGGAAUACAUCGGAAUCUACUUUUUCGCGGGGGAUAACGUAGGGAAACUUACGCUAAUACCGCAUACGACCUACGGGUGAAAGCAGGGGAUCUUCGGACCUUGCGCGAUUGAAUGAGCCGAUGUCGGAUUAGCUAGUUGGCGGGGUAAAGGCCCACCAAGGCGACGAUCCGUAGCUGGUCUGAGAGGAUGAUCAGCCACACUGGAACUGAGACACGGUCCAGACUCCUACGGGAGGCAGCAGUGGGGAAUAUUGGACAAUGGGCGCAAGCCUGAUCCAGCCAUACCGCGUGGGUGAAGAAGGCCUUCGGGUUGUAAAGCCCUUUUGUUGGGAAAGAAAAGCAGCAGGUUAAUACCCCGCUGUUCUGACGGUACCCAAAGAAUAAGCACCGGCUAACUUCGUG